UUUUUUUUUUGGUGAUCAUUCUCAGCUACCUGUGCAGUCAGGGUUAGACCACCUCCGAAUGUAGUCAAGCGCCUGCCUAGCAGUCUUUGACAUCUUUCCAUUCAAGGAACAUUGGAAGGUAUUUCCUGCCCACUCCAAAGUGGUCUUGCCUUUGCCUUGGCUAUUGUGUAGACGAUAUGCAAAGCACCUUGCAUAUGCCUUGCACACGCGUGGUUCUUGGGUUUCCCUGGCACAUUUCACACCUAUGCUCCAGUUGACUGCUCACCGGGCUCUUCAGCUGGGGAACAAUGGACAGAAGAACUUCUAAUGAGAGUUCUGUGGAUCACUGCCAUGUGGCCUGUAGGCCCUGCCAGAGGGGCUGCAUGAGGCCUGCAUUCCCCUCCACCCACUGCCACCCACUGCCAGCCACUGUCAGCCUGGCCUCAUUUGGGAAGCCUCCCUGCCUCUCUGAUGGUCACUGCCUGCCCCUUCCUUCCCCACUCAGCCCAGGCUCAGGCCAGUCUCUGGAGGCUUUGUCUCACCACAGAACCAGCUUUCCUCCCAUGUUGCUGCUGCUUUUGCUACUCACCAUUACCCUCCAUUGUCUUUCUAAGAAAAGUUUUGUAAUUUUUAUUAAGUUAUGUUUCUCAUUUUUAUUCCAGAUUUUUUUUAUAAACUUGCCAGAAAAAAUCUAAUCAAAUACUGCUGUAUUAUCUUGUUUUUUUAUAAAGUUAGAGCAUCUCUCUU
Molecule: long non-coding RNA, 726 nt
Filed under: Rattus norvegicus (Norway rat)
Lineage: Eukaryota; Metazoa; Chordata; Mammalia; Rodentia; Muridae
Description: long non-coding RNA NONRATT028103
Source: RNAcentral